RNAcentral lists this ribosomal RNA (202 nucleotides) under uncultured bacterium. Its description in RNAcentral is "partial 16S ribosomal RNA". It matches the Rfam family "Bacterial small subunit ribosomal RNA", at positions 524 to 724 of the family's 1533-position model. The record is from RNAcentral.
UACAGAGGUCUCAAGCGUUGUUCGGAUUCAUUGGGCGUAAAGGGUGCGUAGGCGGCGCGGUAAGUCGGGUGGUGAAAUCUCGGGGCUUAACUCCGAAACUGCAUUCGAUACUGCGUGCUUGAGGACUGGGAGAGGAGACUGGAAUUCAUGGUGUAGCAGUGAAAUGCGUAGAGAUCAUGAGGAAGACCAGUGGCGAAGGCGG